AUCAACGCAAACAGCAACAACUUCAACAAACAACAGCUUCCUCACCCCAAAAAUUCACGAACAGUAAUAUAAGUCGUCCAAGUCAAAGACAGAUCUUAUCCCUGCGAAAUCCCCUCGAAUCUGCUGAGAUACAAUCUUCAAAAUCUCUUCACAUCUGAUAUCUUAAGCCUUCAUUGUUGACUUUAGGCUUAUUGUUGCCCAAAAUUCAAUCUUAUGGCAGAAUCAUCAAUCAAAUUCGGAUUAUGGAGAUAUGUUUUAUCUCAUCUCAUUUCAGCCUAUGUCAAAUCUGAAAAGGGGUUAAAUUUGAAAUUCAAAUUGAUUGUUUUUUACUAUAAAUAGCCGAACUUCCACCCUUUGAGAGGGAGCUUUUUUUUUAAGGUCUAAAAUUGAAAGAAAAGAGUGAAAACUAGUGAAGAAAGAAGAAUCAUCAGAAAAGCCAUUGAGUCAGUAUCAAAAUAUCAUCCAGUUCCCAGUACUUUCCUCCUUGUUUUCUUACUUUCUUUCCAAAAUCGAAGUUCGAGUUCGUGUUUGGAUCUCCAACGGAAAGCCCUCUAGUUCGCUGCCCUCCACCAGGUAAAUUUUAUCCCGUCUAACUUUAUUAUAGUUAUCUUUCGAUAAUUCUCUGAUCGUUUAAGUCUAUUAUUUCUGUUUGGCCAAUCAUAAGCAUAAACCUAAGAUGAAAUAGCGUCUGGCUAUUUUAUUUCGUUCGUCGUCUAAUGUUUAGAUAUUUUAGUUCGUGAUUUGGCUCGAAUAUUUUAAACUAGGAAGUCUCGAUUAAAGUAUAAUGCUUUAUCUUGGUUGGCUGUGAAUGCAUAUUUGAAGCACUUAUGCAUUGCUUAGUUAUUCGGGUUGUUAACCGUUCGUUUUGAAGAUGAAAUAUGUGAAAUAAUAAUCUAUUUUGGCAAUCUGAUUUACUCAAUUCGGUCGCUGGGUGGGUUUGUUUUUGCCUUUAAAUGUGAGAUAUUAUGUAGAUUAGAGUAAAUAAUGUGAUUCAGAAAGGUUAUGUCUGGUCGAAAAUAAAGAGUAUGUCGACCUACUACGUAAAAUUCAUCUCGUUAUCUCGUAUCUGUCUUUUUCUAACCCAUUGGCUUUGUUCUAUGAAUACGUGCUUUGUUUUUGACUUCAAACUAGAUUGAUGCCUUGACUUUCCUUUAUAGUUGUUUUACGUCUAAACGUAUGGGUUCACUUUUCUGUGUCACCCUCACCGUCUUUUCUGUUAUCUCGUCUAGAUUUCAUGAAUAUGUCAUUUUGGGUGAAUUCCGACCAAAAUUUGAAUUGUUGUUUUAGACUCUAAGAAAUGAUGUUGUAUGUGAAUAUAUUUUCAGUGAAAUGUUGCUUACCCCGCUUUUAGUAUCACCUGCGAGUCAAACCUAGAUUCAUCUCAAGUUUAUAUGGUUUUACUGUAUGUGUCCGUUUCGUAUAUAAAAUUCUCCAUACAUGAAGAACCCACUCCCCUUUUGCUGUUUAUUGACGAAUAUGACCUUGUGGAGACAUGGAAGGCCAUGCUCCGUUAGGUAUCUUGUCGUUGCAUCCUUUACUUUUUAAGUUAAAGAGCAUAAUCUGUUUUCCUCGUUAGUUACUACUGCCAUUUUUAUUUUUUUUCAAACUUCGCUGCUCCUCUUCUUGUUUUCUUUGUUUUAGUCGUUUGUUCCCGGUAAAGUAAGGCAAUAACAAUGACAUUCAUUUCUUAUAUUUCGUAAUUGCAUUUUGGUACUUGGUGUUUUACCUUUGUUUAACUAACAUUUUAAAAAUGUCCUAGCCGGAAACAUUCCAAGGUGCACAACUUAUUGUCCCAUGCCUUAUAUAUUCUUCAACAUCUAUUUGUAACUUUAUAUCUAUAGUGGCAGGAAAAUAUUAACCAAGUUGCAGAGAUUUUGUUUGUCGAGGUAAGCUAUAGACAUCUUUAUAUGACAACAUGCUCCUCUGAAAGUUUUACUGUCCAGUGAAGGCCUUUUGCGCCCUAUUUGUCAUUUUGUAGAGUGAGUUUUAAAGGGGUAAGUGAGCUGCCCCGUCUUGUUCUGUUCAUUACCUAUUCUAUCUCGUUUUAUACCAAGUGGGUUAUACGCAAGUAAGUAUGUAAUGUAUGUAGUUACUUGAGAAUAUGGGUCAAAACAUUUUACUCUCUUGCUUACAGAUUAUAGAAAAUAGGCGCGCAAGAAGUAUCUUCUGCUUAUUGAUAUGGAGAUUUUUUUGGGGUGCUUUAAAUUACUUGUCCUUUUUUUUUUUUUUGAGCUUUCCGAAUCUGUCUACUGAGUUCCAGAGGAGAAUCUGCCGCACUGGUAAUGUAUUGUUGGGUUGUAUUGAUGAUUAUUAAAUCAAUUAGCCAAGGAUAUUAAAAUGCAUGUUAUGUGUUACCCUUUGUAGAUCAUGUGUUUUUCUUAUCUAUGCUUUUAUUAAUUGUGACGCAAUAACAAAAGAUAUAUACCCAUGGAACAAAGUUUAUACUUAAGCGUAUUCUUCACUGUUGGGGCAAUUUUAUAUAGCUAUGAACACCUUGGCUGGCUUCAUGUCAAAUUUGAUGUAGUUGGUAGUUUGCUUUCAGCUUAUGAUUAGUUAAUAUGAGAUACUUCAUGUCUUUGUUUAAUUUCUCUUUUGAAUGUGUUCAGAAUCUUUUCUUUUCCAUAUCCUGUUAGAAAAAAAAAAAAAACAAUAAAUAUGUGACUAAAUAGCAACGAUUUAGGAAUUUUCAGCCAAAUCGGUUUAAGAUUAAUCGCCUAUGAUUGAAGCAGUGUAUUAUUUGUCUUAAAGUAUUGGUUAUACUUCCUCUACGUGUUUAUUUUUACCAUGUUCUUUAUCAAAUAAAAAAAAUCCGCUUUGGUAUGUUGUGUGUCUCAAGUAAAAAGGUUAUUUUAAUCGUUAGAGAAACUUGUGAUCGUGAUAUAAACCAACCAUGUUUCCCGUCUAAAUAAAUGAUUCUUUGCAGAUAAAGAUACUUGUUGCAGACACCAUAUUUAUAGAUUUAUCUUCUUGACUGAAGUUGUUAAAUUGAAACCUUAUUUAGCAUGCUACAUCUAGGCUUUCGGCGGAAAGUGUUUUUCCUCUUUUUCCUUGUACUAUAGCUUUAUUAUCGUAUCUUUUCUUAGAAUUUAUAGUCACAUAUAGAAGUUAACAUGACAUGAAAGAUCCUUUGGUGCUAAUAUAGUAUUUCAUAAAGAGUAGUUUCGGUUCCUUUCUGUUUCUGUGCAUAUUCAUUCUAUAGUUUUUAUUUCUUCUAUUCUUUUAAGAAGUUCACAUCAUAUUCCUCUCAAGUGAAGAAUAAUUUUCUCAUUUCUAAUCCUUACCUUUUUCUGUCUCAUGUGAACUCGGAAGCGUGUUUGGAGUCUCAUGGCUUGACUCCAUCUCUGUCCAAAUCAGAGAAGCGAUAAUAGGCUAUUACGUGUUUCGUCUAAACAGGCUAUGUUGUUUAAAUAGAUUUACAUUUACCUAAGUUAUCCGCACUUAUCCGCACCCCCCUACAAUUGGUAUCAAAGCCAAUGUUGUUUAAAGUUAUAGAAGUAGUAUAUAUUUGGACUUAUUUGAUUAAUUUAUUAAUUAUGAUAAAAUUAGAUCUAGAUAUCCACCAAAACAUUAUUUAUAAUAUUUGCUUAGAUGAAUAACGAACAAAAAUUACAAAAAUUUAAAGAAUUAAAACAAAUAAUAUCUGAAAAACAUAAAGAAUUAAAAAUAAGGAUAGAAAGAUUACACUAUAACAUAAUUGCCAGAGUUAGUAAAGAAUAUUAUUAUAAAGGAACAUAUAAUAUAGAAGAAAGUAAAGAAAUAAGAAGAGUAUAUUUUAGUAAAUUGUCCGAACUAUUAGUUCAAAAAUAAUAAAGAGUUGGGAUGAAGCAAAAAAUAGUAGAUACCCUAGGAGCAAGAAUAAUAUUUUUACAACAAUGAUAUAGAAAUAUAUGUGAAAAAUAUAGAGAAGAAAUAAAAAUGGAAAAAACAUUAAUAAGAAAUUUAACAUGUUGCAAAGAUAAAAUAACACCUCAAUUUGGAUGUGAAGAAAGAUACUAUAAGAAAAGAAAAAGACAUAAGAAAUAUAAGAAAUACAAAAAAUCAAAAUAUAAGUAUAAGAAACCAAGAAAAAAAUAUUAUGUAAAAAAUUAUAAACAUAAAAGACCAUAUAGAAAAAAAGAAAUCUAUAAAAGAAUGUACUUGUUAUAAUUGUGGAAAACUAGGACAUUUAGCUAGAGAUUGUAAAUUAUCAAAAAAUUCAAAAAAUAAACGAAUAUCAGAAAUAAAAAUAGAAAAUACAGAAUAUAUGCAGAUAGAUUAUAUAGAUUAUGAAUUAGAAAGUGAAGAUAGUAUAUAUGAAAUUUCGGAGAAUGAAACAGAUAAUGAAAUAGAUAGUGAAUUAGAUGAAUCAAAUGACUGAAGAAGAUAUCAAAAUAAACCAAAUAACUGAAGAAGAUAUAAAAAUAAUAACAGAGCUAGUAUACCACUAGUAACAAAGAGAAUGAUUAAUAAAGAAAUAAACGAUAUAAAAAAUAAGGAUCCAAUAAAAUAUGUACACCUUGGAGGUACAAAGAUAUUAAUAAAAGCAUGUUUUAGAGAAGAAAUAGAUACAUCAAUAGAAUUAUAUGUAGCAGACGAUAGAAUUAUAAAACCUAUAGAAAAAAGUAUAAUAACUGUCAUAAAAGGAAAUUUAAUAUACCAAAAAUUUAAAUUUAUUAUAAGUGCGAAUUAUUCAGCAGCAAUAACAGAUAAAAAUAUAGAUAAAUCAUUAGUAUUAUAUUGGAAAAUAUCAGGAAUAGAACUAACCCCAGAAAGCAAGAUGUAAAAAUCUAUAUGUAUUAACAACAAAACAUAAAAUAACAGGAAAAAUAAAAUCAAUAAAAUACAAAUAGAAAGUCCUUUUGAACAAUUCGUAAAAACAACUGAUAAUAAUGAUUAUAGUUACAAAAAUAUAAACAUAGAAGAAGAUUUAGAAAUAAUAAAUGACAGAAUAAGUACAUCAAAAAGAAUAGGUCGUGAAAAAUCAGAAUUAUCAAGUUCAUCAAAACGAACAAGUUAUGAAACAAUUUCAACAGUUAAUUUAAAUCAAUAUUACAUAACAGGAACAAUAAAUGAAAAAGAAUAUUUAAUACUCUUAAACACAAGACAAGAAGAAAAUUAUAUAGCAAAAUAUCUAGUAAAAAGUGAAGAAAUAAAAUCUAAUAGUAAUAUAUGUCCAGAUCUAUCAAGGAGUUUAAUAAACAUUAAGGAUACGGCAGAAAAAGAAAUAAUAAUAGGAGUUAGAAAAAUAAAAAUAGAAUUUGAAAUAAAGGAAGAAAUUUAAAAAGCAGGCAUAAUAUUAGGAAUAAAAUGGUUAGAACAUGUAAAACCAUACAAUAUAGAACAUACACAAUUAUCUAUAACAUAUAAUAAAGAAAGAUUAUUCAUAAAAAGAACUAUAACAUGAUAUGAAAUAUAUGUACUUGUAAAGAUAAUAGUAGAGGGAUAUUAUAAUAAGUAUUAUACACCUAUGAUAGAUACAGGAGCAGAAGCAAACUUAUGUAGAUACAACUGUUUAUCAGAAAAUAAAUGGGAUAAAUUAAAUAUAUCAAUAGUAGUCAAAGGAUUUAAUAAUGAGGGAAGCUUAAUUACAUAUAAACCUAAGAAUAUAAAAAUACACAUAUGGGAUAAAAUAAUAACAAUAGAAGAAAUUUAUAAUUAUGAACUUAACAUCAAAAGAUAUGCUUUUAGGAAUAUCAUUUUUAGAUAAAUUAUACCCACAUAUAACAACCAGAACACACUGGUGGUUUACAACACCAUGUAACAAAAAGUAAGAGCAAAAAGAGUUAUUAAUAAAAUAAGAAAGAAAACUGAUUGGAUAAAAGGAAGUGAAAAAAUUACACAAAAGUUAGAAAAUAUAAAAAAAUACAGAAAACUACUAUAAAAAUUGAAUUAAUAGAUAAGAAUAGCAUAAUAACACAAAAACCAUUAACAUAUAAUUUUGAUGAUUUAAAAGAAUUUAAAAUGCACAUAGAUGAAUUAUUAGAAAAACAAUAUAUACAAAAAAGUAAUAGUAAACAUAAUAGUCCAGCAUUUAUAGUAAAUAAACAUAGUGAACAAAAAAGAGGAAAAAGUAGGAUGGUUAUUGAUUAUAGAAAUUUAAAUGCAAAAACUAUAACAUAUAAUUAUCCGAUACCAAAUAAGAUAUUAAAAAUAAGACAAAUCCAAGGAUAUAAUUAUUUUAGCAAAUUUGAUUGUAAAUCAGGAUUUUACCACCUAAAGCUAGAAGAAGAAUCUAAAGAAUUAACCGCAUUUACGGUACCACAAGGAUUUUAUGAAUGGAACGUGUUACCCUUUGGAUAUAAAAAUGCACCAGGUAGAUAUCAACAUUUUAUGGAUAAUUAUUUUAAACAAUUAUCUAAUUGUAUAGUAUACAUAGAUGAUAUAUUGUUAUAUACAAAAACCAAAGAAGAACAUUUAAAAUUAUUAGAACAAUUCACAGAUAUAAUAGAAAAAUCAGGAAUAAGUCUAAGCAAAAAGAAAGCUGAAAUUAUGAAAAAUCAGAUAGAAUUUUUAGGAAUACAAAUAGAUAAAAGUGGAGUAAAUAUGCAACAACAUAUAGUACAAAAAAUAAUAAAUUCAAAAGAAGAAUUAGAUACAAAAAAAAAAUUACAAUCAUUUUUAGGAUUAGUAAACCAAGUAAGAGAAUAUAUAUCAAAAUUAGCAGAAAACCUAAAACCAUUAAAGAAAAAAUUAAAAAAGAAUGUAGAAUAUAAUUGCAAUGAAGAAGAUAAAAAACAAGUUUAGAAAAUAAAAACACUUUGUAAAGAAUUACCAAAAUUACAAUUCCCAGACGAAAAUAAAAAUUUUACAUAUAUAGUAGAAGCAGAUGCAAGUGAAUAUAGUUAUGAGGAGUACUUUAAAUAUCGAUACGAAACAGAAAAAAUAGAACACCAUUGUAGAUACUACUCAGGUACGUUCAACGAGACAGAAAUAAAAUGGGAAAUAAAUAGGAAAGAAUUAUGUUCAUUAUAUAAAUGUUUAUUAGCAUUUGUAUUAGCCUUUAAACCAUAUAUUGUAUAUAACAAAUUUAUUGUGAGAACAGAUAAUACCCAGGUUCGAUGGUGGUUAACAAGAAAAAUAUAAAACUCAGUUACGAUGAAGAAAUUUCAGAGAUUAGUAUUGAAUAUAUUAAAUUUUAUAUUUACGAUUGAAGUAAUCAAGACUGACAAGAAUGUUAUUGCAGAUUACAUAUCAAGACAAAGCUACUCAAACUGAUUUACCAAUGGAAGAAGCUGAUGUCAAAGAUACCCAAACAGAAUUAAUAUUACAAAUGUAAUAUCACAAAUGAAGUUAUUACAAGAACGAGUUAUCACAGGAAGAGCACAUUAAAAAACUAGACCUAGAAGGUGAUGAUGAGAAACACCUAAAAACUCAAAUUACUAACGAAAUUUACUGUUACAGCUGCAAGUGCAGGUGAUGUUUCCAAGGAAAAAAAUAUAGUCACUCAAAAUAAACUUGAACCACCAAAGAAAAAUAAUUAUAAUCUCAACCAGAUAUUCUCAAAACCACAUACACCAAAUAUACAAAAAGCAGAGUCAUCUAUACCUCCCCAGAUACACACAUAUUCCGAGUCACUCAAUCAACAGAAACAAACUUAUAACCAUAUCACUCGUAAAUAUAUUGAUAAUAUUUCUACUUUACAAAAAUGGUUAAAUACAAAACCUAUCCAAGAUAAAGAUUUAGCAAAACAACACCAAGGAUAUAUUACACAAAAAUGUCAGAACUAUAACAAACUUAUUGCUUUGCCUGGCACCAGUGCAAAUUUAAUUUCUUCAUGUUACUAUUAUGGAUUAUUAUCUACGGUUUACACAAUUACUGGAGACGAAUUAACAAGAAUUUCAGAUAUUCACAAAAAUUUUAUGGAUUAUAAAAGGAUUACGAAGGGACAGUUAUUUCUAUGUUUGCUUCUACUCAGCACCAGCAGAAAUAUUGUUUGAUGAGAUAGAACAGACAAUUAUUGUUGUCAAGAUAGGAAUGACACGAGAAUAUAUUAUUCCUAAAGACAUAUGCGAACAAGAAGAGAUAACCAAAAAUCAGAUAUCGGACUUUUACCGAAACAAGAGAGUUAUUGGACUUAGCAAUAUAUUGACUGAGUUAGCAAAUAAUUAUAUAAAUCAAAACCCAGUUUUGAUUUACUGCAACAGAAAUCAAUUAUUUGUUUACUCUACUUGUAAAAAUAUUAGAGAAAAUGAUAGAGAAUAGAUAAGAAAAUAGAUCAUGACAAUCCUAAAAUCAGAAGAGUUACCAGUCACAAGAUCUAUUACAAAAGGAAUUAUUUCAGAAGAAGCUGUGGAUCAAUUUUGUAAACAGAUUGGCCAAAGAUACGAUGACCACAGAUGCAGCAAAUGUAGUGGCAGACACAACUUUAUUCCAGAUGUGAUGCUACAAUAGCAAGAAGAUAAGAAAGCAGCAGAUACGACAAGGAGAAGAUAGCAAAAAGAUAAGCCACAGAACAAUAAUGGAAGCAGCCAAGAUAUUCAUGGAAGAAAGUGACAUAUGAAGAUAGAAAGAGACAUAUUGAGAAAAGAUGAAUUAUCUUUACGUAAAGAAAUUAUGUAGUAGUAUAGCCUUUGAUUUUUUGUCUUGUAUAGCUUUAUAGGCUUUUUGACUUUCUUGUACAAUAAUUAUUAAGUAGAUAGACUUUUUGUAGAAAGAUAUGUGUAAAGGAUAGAAACAGCGUAAAAUAUUCAUUUUUCCUUUAUAAAUAAAGGAACCGAAGGCAAAUGAAAGGUAAGCCUUCAUGAGUUGAAGCAAAAACCCUCUCUUGUACAAAAAACUUUUGAAUUCUUUAAUAAAAACAAGUAUAUUUUCAAGGAAAAGUUAUGAAUCACCAAACAGCUACGAAAAAUCUAGAAUUAUCAGAUUUACCAGAACAGGUAUUUAUAUUUAUGAUUAUGAAUAGCUAAAUUCAUAAAUUCCUGACAAUCAUGAUAUGAUAAAAUAAGUUCAUGUUAGUUACUUUAUAGUAGAAUUAUUCGAAGAAUAGUAUAUUAAGAAGUUUAUUAGCAAAGCGGAAAAGAAGAAAAAUUCCUAAGAACUAUGCCAUCCUAAAGGUGAAAUCGGUGAGGCAAGAAAGCCGUGAUAGGGGAGUAGCCAGAGUACAGGCGCUGUUUGAGGAAAAAGUAUCCAGAUUACCAUGCUAAUAGUGACCGAAGAACAUGUUAUUUAAGAAUAAUCUAGUAUAUAGUAAUCUAAAAUGAUCAUAUUUUGUUAUGUGUAUGAUUGCAGGGAAUAUUUUGAAAAAAGCAUCAUAUAAAAAAUGAAUACUUAUUUAUCUGACGAAAUGGUAGAUAAAUUCAAAAUAUUUGUUUUGUAUAUACCUAAGGAUAUAGAAAUUAUAGAUAUAAGAAAAAUCAUAUUAGAAAAAAUAUUUGAUAAAUAUUUUAUGACUAGAAUUAAUUAUAUACCACACCUACCUAACUACUCUUACAAAUACUUUCAUACCAAACCUACACAUCAACCAUGAUAAAAUACAUAAAUUAAAAAAUGGAUAUGAAAAAUAUACAAUUAAUAGAAAAACUAAUGAAAACAAAUUUAGAAGAAUAUAUGAGAACUAAAGAUAUAAAAUAUAUAAAAUCCUUGAUAAAAAUAUAAAGGAAUUAUUAAGAUUAAAACAAAUAAUUAAUAAAUACUAUGAUAAAGCAAUUAAUUACUAGAAUCCGAUUCCAAGUUAUCCAAGUUAUUCGUAGAAACCUAAGCAUUAUAUGAAUAAUAUGACAAAAUAUAUAUCUGAUGAAACUAAGAUACUUGUUUUAUAUAUCAUAAAAGACUUAGAAUUAAAAGACAUAAAGAAAAUAAUAUGGGGAAAAAUAUUUGAUUUUGAAGAUGAGUUACUAAGUACUAAUUUGAUAGAAGAUGAAUUAGAAUAUAUAGAUUUCUAUGGUAGAAAUUAUUAUUCAGAUAGCUAUUAUUCAGAAAAUAUAGUUCUUCGCCCAAAGUCUUUUUUUCAUCCUCUUUGGUCUAAGAGGGACAAGCUGUUGACACCCAAUUUUUGACUCUCCCUUUCAUAAAAUUAAUUUCUCGAUGCUUAGGAUUUCUGAACAUUUAAAUAUAUGUGUAUAUAUAUAUAUAUAUAUAUAUAUAUAUAUAUAUAUAUAUUUGAUAAAAUUAAUUAAAGCAUCGUUAAAUUAGUUAAGUGAAAUCGACUAGGGGUGAAUUAAAUUAAUUCAUUUUUGGGCCUUUCUUUUCUUUCAGUUAAAUUGUAAUCCAAACAACCAAAUGCCCCAACUUCAAGACCCUUCACCUCAGGCCCAAUUUUGAUUAAUCUAGAUGGCCCAACAACAAUUAAAAUCCUCAUCUAUUCUAAUUCAACUCCAACAUAUCAGCCGAAUCUUUUUUUACCCAAUAGAGCAAUCCAGCCCAAGACCCUCUAAUCUUUUUUCCCUUUAUUUGGUUGUUAUCCACAACCUCUGCAAUAUCAACGCAAACAGCAACAACUUCAACAAACAACAACUUCCUCACCCCAAAAAUCCACCGAAUAGUAAUAUAAGUCGUCCAAGUCAAAGACAGAUCUUAUCCCUGCGAAAUCUCCUCGAAUCUGCUAAGAUACAAUCUUCAAAAUCUCUUCACAUUUGAUAUCUUAAGCCUUCAUUGUUGACUUUAGGCUUAUUGUUGCCCAAAAUUCAAUCUUAUGGAAGAAUCAUCAAUCAAAAUUGGAUUAUGAGGAUAUGUUUUAUCUCAUCUCAUUUCAGCCUAUGUCAAAUCUGAAAAGGGG
This 10693-nucleotide long non-coding RNA is filed under the name Capsicum annuum. RNAcentral describes it as "long non-coding RNA (CANN_LNC000946)". Lineage: Eukaryota; Viridiplantae; Streptophyta; Magnoliopsida; Solanales; Solanaceae. The record is from RNAcentral.